CUUCUGUCCCUCCCCUACGGCGUUCCGGGAGGGCGGGGCCAGCGCCGCGAGCUGCGGUCGUGUGGUCUCGGUUCUGGCUGCGUGUGGUCCAGGGUAUAAGGAAAGACCCUGGCUGUCUGCGGUGUGGACCCCUCACACAUUGAGCGCUGACUUUGCCAGGCGUUACAUAGAAGGAGACCAUAGCUCCGUGUGUUACUGGAUCGGGUGCUGUAGGCCCCAGAGUAAGUGGAGCCCCUUCCAGGUUCAGCCUUAAUUACCAAAAGUGGUGAUCCUGUUGCCUUUGUUUUUGUUUUUGCGUUUUUGAAGCAAGGAAGGUCUCUCUAAGUAGUUCAGGCUGGCGUUGAGCUCACUGUGUAGCCCAGGCUGGCAGUCCUCCUGCCUCAGCCUCCCAAGUGCUGGGAUUACAGGCAUGCACCACCAUCCCCGGCAAGGUUAAAUAACCUAGCCUAGUAAGACAGUUUCUUUUUUUUUUCUUCUGGUUUUUUGAGACAGGAUCUCGCUGUGUAGUUUGGGCUGGACUUGAACUCAUUAUGCAGUCUAGGCUGGCCUUGCACUUGCAGUGAUCCUCCUCCCUCAGCCUCCUAAGUGCUGGGAUUACAGGUGACUCACAGUGAUUCAGGAUCGAGAUGUCUUCUAUCUUAGGAUUCUUCUACUUUCAACAUUUUCCAAGGAUCCAAAUUCAUCUGCAUCAGAUGGAAGGGGAAAGAGUAUGAAGGAGAAUGGGAAAUGUUCAUGGGCCAGGUCUAGAUGGGGUCCCCAAGUUGUGCCCACAUUUCAUUGUCUGGAGCUCACUCAAUAUGUGCUCAUACUUCACUGCAAAGGAGGCUUACAGAUUGCUGAAUUACCUGGAAGAAGAGGAAAUGAUUUGGUAAGCAUUUUCUGCUACAGCUAUCCAUUUGGGUUUUAAAGGAGAAAAAGCUAGGAACCUGGAGGUGUAGCUUAGUGGUAGGGUGCUUGCCUGCCAUACAUGAGCCAACUAUGCACUGAAACCUCUAUAAAACUCU
This is a long non-coding RNA of Heterocephalus glaber (naked mole-rat), 1004 nucleotides long. The record is from Ensembl. Lineage: Eukaryota; Metazoa; Chordata; Mammalia; Rodentia; Bathyergidae.